UACGAAGGGUGCAAGCGUUGUUCGGAUUUACUGGGCGUAAAGCGCGCGCAGGCGGGUGAUUAAGUCAGGUGUGAAAUCUCGGGGCUCAACUCCGAAACUGCGCCUGAAACUAUUCAUCUAGAGUGUUGGAGGGGGAAGUGGAAUUUCGCAUGUAGGGGUAAAAUCCGUAGAGAUGCGAAGGAACAUCAGUGGCGAAGGCGACUUCCUGGACAACAACUGACGCUGAGGCGCGAAAGCGUGGGGAGCAAACAGG
Molecule: ribosomal RNA, 253 nt
Filed under: uncultured bacterium
Lineage: Bacteria
Description: partial 16S ribosomal RNA
Rfam family: Bacterial small subunit ribosomal RNA
Source: RNAcentral